RNAcentral lists this ribosomal RNA (393 nucleotides) under uncultured bacterium. RNAcentral describes it as "bacterial SSU rRNA". It matches the Rfam family "Bacterial small subunit ribosomal RNA", at positions 28 to 420 of the family's 1533-position model. The record is from RNAcentral.
GACGAACGCUGGCGGCGUGCUUAACACAUGCAAGUCGAGCGGUAAGGCCCUUUCGGGGGUACACGAGCGGCGAACGGGUGAGUAACACGUGGGUGACCUGCCUCUAGCUCUGGGAUAAGCCCGGGAAACUGGGUCUAAUACUGGAUAUGACUCCACGACGCAUGUUGUGGGGUGGAAAGCCUUGUGCGGCUAGAGAUGGGCCCGCGGCCUAUCAGCUUGUUGGUGGGGUGAUGGCCUACCAAGGCGACGACGGGUAGCCGGCCUGAGAGGGCGACCGGCCACACUGGGACUGAGACACGGCCCAGACUCCUACGGGAGGCAGCAGUGGGGAAUCUUGCGCAAUGGGCGAAAAGCCUGACGCAAGCGACGCCGCGUGAGGGAUGACGGCCUGGU